AUGGAGGCGGAGGCGGCUGUGCAGCUCCUCUCUGGCAUUCUGGCUGCGAGAGGCGUAUCUUGCAGCGCGAAAAAGAUCAAAUCCCUGGUGCAAUGGGCCCAGAAGGAGGGUUUUCUAAAGGAAAGCCCUCUAAGCUUUAGCCCAGAUGAGUGGAAGCUGGUAGGAGAUCGGUUAUGGCAGACAACCACCACGAGUGGAAAGUUCAAUAAAGAUCUAUGUAUGACCUGGCGAGCAGUGAUUGAUGCGCUGUGCGGUCUGAAGGCCGAACGCCAGGUGGUAACGGCGACGACGCAAGCUUUGUCACUACCAUCCGGGGCCGACAAAACGUCAACUACAAAAUCUGACAACUCAGGACCAUGCCUGUCACUAUUGUUUCCAUCGGUUCCUGCACCCAUGCCGGUUCGGGGUAUGACCUCUUCAAUAAAGGAAUCAGCGGCAGCCAUAAUUAAGGGACUAUCCGAGCACGGUGCAGAUGUGGCCUGCGAAUUGCCCUCUUCAUCUCCCGCUCCAGAAAAUCUUGACACAGUGCCCCCAGCAUCCAUGCCGCUGCCAGGAACCAAUAAAUCCACCCAAGAUGCUUCUCCCUCAUUAUCCACCGCCCCAACUCCACCGGCGCCGAAACCAAAUAGGUGGUCUGGAGUCAUACGUGAUGCCAUUAUAGAGGGAGAGUGGCGUGCCGCAUCUUUGGCCUGCCCAGAUGUUAUGGACCCUGUGCAAGGCACCGGGUCGUGGCAACCGCAUGAUUGGAAGAUUUUACGACAAGCUAGAAAAAUAGUUAUGGACUACGGCUUACAGUCCCAGGCGGCACAACAGAUAGUUCAAUGGAUUUUCCAGUCAGACUUAAUGUGUCCACUUGACUGUCAAAACUUGGCACGUUUGUUGUUAACUCCUUCCCAACUGUUGCUCUUUGAAAGGGAAUGGCUACGGUUGGCACAGGCAGAAGCGAGUCGACUGCGUCAACCAGGGGACCCUCUGUACGGCAUUACUGCUGAAAUGUUAACGGGGACAGGUCCAUACUUCAAUCCCCAAGUUCAGCUGCAGUUCCCUGCGAUUUUUCACCAAACAGCUGCACAGCUCGCACUACAGGCUCUUCUUGCCCUUCCAGAAGAAAAGAAAUCACCUCCCUUUGCAUCAGUUCAACAGGCCCAAGGCGAACCUUAUGCAAAAUUUAUCGAUCGGUUGUGGGCAGCAAUCAUAGAUCAUCCGGACUUAACAUCGGAGUCAAGAAAGAUCAUGUUUAAAAUGCUUGCUUUCGACAACGCGAACGCAAAAACCCAAAACAUCCUAGCCACGCUACCGAGAACCGCAACUGUAGAAGAAAUGUUGGAGAGAGUCGAACGAGUCAAUCAGUCCAAGCAAGCAGCUGUGAUGGCACAGGCUGUUGCAACACCCAUUGGUGAUCCCUCAAGUGCUAUAGUGACACAAACCAACAGCAGCCCUCCAAGACGUAACCCCCAGAAUCAGCUGCGAUGUUAUCGAUGCGGGAGGCCUGGCCAUACAAAAAGGCACUGCAUGGCUACCGUCUGGUGUGAUAAUUGCCAAUCUAACACACAUGCUACAGUAAUGUGCAGGUCCAAGGGAAACUCCAAGAGGAGCGUGAUCGGCCGCGCGACGACAACAGUAGCUGCAGUGCGGAUGGACAGGGCGGAUUUCUCAACAACAAUGCCCCAGCCACCAGAGGAAGCCUUGGAGUGGAUUUGGCAACAGCAGUAA
Molecule: long non-coding RNA, 1713 nt
Filed under: Anas platyrhynchos platyrhynchos (common mallard)
Lineage: Eukaryota; Metazoa; Chordata; Aves; Anseriformes; Anatidae
Description: lncRNA (ENSAPLG00000019241.1)
Source: RNAcentral